UGUGGGAGCGAGCCUGCUCGCGAUAGCGGUGGUUCAGUUGGCAUAUUCAUUGGCUGACACACCGCUAUCGCGAGCAGGCUCGCUCCCACC
RNAcentral lists this unclassified non-coding RNA (90 nucleotides) under Pseudomonas sp. NFACC45. Lineage: Bacteria; Pseudomonadati; Pseudomonadota; Gammaproteobacteria; Pseudomonadales; Pseudomonadaceae. The record is from RNAcentral.